UACAGAGACCUCAAGCAUUAUCCGGAUUUAUUGGGCGUAAAGGGCGCGUAGGCGGAGAUAUAAGUCAGAUGUGAAAUCCUGGGGCUCAACCUCAGAACUGCAUUUGAAACUGUAUCCCUAGAGGAUAGGAGGAGAAAACGGAAUUCCACAAGUAGCGGUGAAAUGCGUAGAUAUGCGGAAGAACACCGGUGGCGAAGACGGUUUUCUAUCUUAUUCCUGACGCUGAAGCGCGAAAGCAAGGGGAUCAAAC
Molecule: ribosomal RNA, 250 nt
Filed under: uncultured bacterium
Lineage: Bacteria
Description: partial 16S ribosomal RNA
Rfam family: Bacterial small subunit ribosomal RNA
Source: RNAcentral